This 253-nucleotide ribosomal RNA is filed under the name uncultured bacterium. RNAcentral's name for it is "partial 16S ribosomal RNA". It matches the Rfam family "Bacterial small subunit ribosomal RNA", at positions 524 to 776 of the family's 1533-position model. The record is from RNAcentral.
UACGGGGGGAGCAAGCGUUGUUCGGAUUUACUGGGCGUAAAGGGCGCGUAGGCGGCUGUGCAAGUCAGUUGUGAAAUCUCCGGGCUUAACUCGGAACGGUCAACUGAUACUGCUCGGCUAGAGUGCGGAAGGGGCAACUGGAAUUCUUGGUGUAGCGGUGAAAUGCGUAGAUAUCAAGAGGAACACCUGCGGCGAAGGCGGGUUGCUGGGCCGACACUGACGCUGAUGCGCGAAAGCCAGGGGAGCGAACGGG